GUCCUUGUAGCUCAGUUGGAUAGAGCAUCGGUUUCCUAAACCGGGGGUCGCAGGUUCGAAUCCUGCCAAGGACG
Molecule: transfer RNA, 74 nt
Filed under: Gemmatimonas aurantiaca T-27
Lineage: Bacteria; Pseudomonadati; Gemmatimonadota; Gemmatimonadia; Gemmatimonadales; Gemmatimonadaceae
Description: tRNA-Arg (CCT) (tRNA-Arg-CCT-1-1)
Rfam family: tRNA
About the family: Transfer RNA (tRNA) molecules are approximately 80 nucleotides in length. Their secondary structure includes four short double-helical elements and three loops (D, anti-codon, and T loops). Further hydrogen bonds mediate the characteristic L-shaped molecular structure. tRNAs have two regions of fundamental functional importance: the anti-codon, which is responsible for specific mRNA codon recognition, and the 3' end, to which the tRNAs corresponding amino acid is attached (by aminoacyl-tRNA synthetases). tRNAs cope with the degeneracy of the genetic code in two manners: having more than one tRNA (with a specific anti-codon) for a particular amino acid; and 'wobble' base-pairing, i.e. permitting non-standard base-pairing at the 3rd anti-codon position.
Source: Rfam by way of RNAcentral